Mauremys reevesii (Reeves's turtle) is the source of this 548-nucleotide long non-coding RNA. RefSeq lists it as uncharacterized. NCBI's taxonomy places the organism in Eukaryota, Metazoa, Chordata, Testudines, Geoemydidae. The record is from RefSeq and is a predicted model, not a curated record. The transcript has 3 exons.
CUCUGAGUGGCUUCAAAAAGAGUUUAAAAAAACAAAAAGAACCCAACCUGCCAGAUGAACUUCUCCUUUCUUCUCUCUCCAAGUGUGAAAUUACCCCCAACCCUUCUCCCACUAAGGGGAAAAAUUGCUUGUAUGCUUUGAAAAAUAAAGCCUUCAGUGUACUGAAGCAUGAGGGAGCCCCGUCAGAGAGGAGACUAAAGGAGAGCACACUGUACUUUUAUUUAGGUUUUCCUCUUACUAAAGCUUUUUGACAGCUAAGUGAAAUGAAAGAGUGUCACUGAGCAUGGAUAAAUGGAGUCUUAAAAAAAAUAAAAAAGGAGAAGAAUUGUUGUGUCUCUAAAAGGAAUGAACUGACAGACCUGUUGUUUGGACGGCAAGAUGUGUAGCAUGAAACAGGAAUUGCAGUCUAUGUUUUCAAUCAAGAAGCACAAUCAAGAUGCAAUAACUUCCCUUGAAGACUGACUGCUUUGGUCCCACGUGAAAAUACCAGUAAGCCUUCAGAGAUGAGUUCGGGGAUGCCAAUUGAUUUGAGACUAGUUUACGGCUGC